GUAAUGUCUGGGAAACGUAGCCUGAUGAGGGGGGAUAACUACUGGAAACGGUAGCUAAUACCGCAUAACGUCGCAAGACCAAAGAGGGGGACCUUCGGGCCUCUUGCCAUCGGAUGUGCCCAGAUGGGAUUAGCUAGUAGGUGGGGUAACGGCUCACCUAGGCGACGAUCCCUAGCUGGUCUGAGAGGAUGACCAGCCACACUGGAACUGAGACACGGUCCAGACUCCUACGGGAGGCAGCAUG
RNAcentral lists this ribosomal RNA (244 nucleotides) under uncultured bacterium. RNAcentral's name for it is "partial 16S ribosomal RNA". It matches the Rfam family "Bacterial small subunit ribosomal RNA", at positions 110 to 353 of the family's 1533-position model. The record is from RNAcentral.